UGUGGCUAUAGCAGACGCAGGGCGCACGCCGGAAAGUCCCUGAUAGCUGGUGCAGUCAAUUCAAUUCAAUUCACCGUCUGAGCAGCCAGUUACCUCCCACCCACACAGCAAGCACCGCUUCAAUCCAAUUCCCUUUUCUCUUAGUAAAACAACUCUGAAGAAACAGACUGAAGAACAGGCUCUGGGACAUGGCAGGUGGUGACCUGGCACCCCAGCAUCCAACGGGGGUGCUCGCGAGCCUUCCGCCGGGGAGAGCCACCUCUCAGGAAGUGACUCAGCAGUACAAGCGUCUACUCUGAGAGCCCCUGCCUGCAUCUCACAGAGAAAAUCAGGAACUCCAGCUGGCCUCGCCGGCCAGUACAGAUUCUUCCAGAGACACCAAGCAGAGAGCGGCUGCAUGUGGCUGUCCAGGCAGAGCCCUGCAGCAGGCAGUGACGCACCAAGACACUGGGACCCACGGCUACCAGCUCCCCGCCACCCGAUGGAAACUGCCCCCGCCAGUGUUCUGGCUAGAAAGCGGCAUCACGCGUUUGCCUAGGACGCUUUCCGAGGCCGAGGGUCUCUGCGGACCAGAAGCUGGUCAGCCUUUGCAAGUCAGAGCCAACACGCGUCCUCACCAAGUCCGAGAUGGGCCCGGUGUCCCUGAGCCUGGGAACUGGCUGAGGGCCCCACACAGUUGUUCCCCAGUUUUCCUGCGCUCCUUCAAUGGAAAUCUAGGCGAGCAUCCAGUCCAUCUCUUCCGCAAAGUCCAAGGUGAGCUGCG
Molecule: long non-coding RNA, 763 nt
Organism: Physeter macrocephalus (sperm whale)
Lineage: Eukaryota; Metazoa; Chordata; Mammalia; Artiodactyla; Physeteridae
Exons: 3
Source: RefSeq, a predicted model, not a curated record